AUCCCGCCUCUGGGGGCAGGGUCGCCCUCCCCCGGCCGCUUGGAGGUCGCUGGACCAAAGGGUGGGGGCUGAGCAGGGCGUUGGCAGCUGGAUGCAUGGUGUGUGGAUGGUACUGCUGCAGCCAGAUUGCCACAAUGAGGGAGGCCCCUUGUGGGAAGAAAUUGGCCCUGACAACCGCAUGGAGACCCUGAAACAAAUCAGCUCUGAAGACUGGACUUCACAGUUUCAACAGUGGCCACACAGAGGGGCUCUUCUUGUUUCCCCAAGAGGAUGGUUUAGAAACAUCUGUGGGAAAGCCUUCCCAAAGCCCAGAGCCUGUAUUGUUUGGGAUUCUUUCAUGUCUUUGAGUGGUGCUGUCUCAAAAAAAAAAAAAAAAAAAAAAAAGCUUCUGUGUUAGCAUUUUGGCCAAAUGACUGACCUCUUGGCCCAGGGGUGGUCUCCUGGCCAUGGACGGACAUUUGACAUGGGGCAGAAUGGAUGACUAGGUGGAAGGAGUUGCUCAGAUCAAUGGCUGAGUCCCUUGGGAAGCCAGUUCUUGUCAGCCAGGAGUCCACAGGUCGGGGCAAAGUUGCUGAGAAGAUGUUACCCCUUACGGAGGCAGCUCUGCUUCUUCCCAGCAGGGAGAAGGGUCUGGGCUGAGCUACGCCAAACCCUGCCAGCCUGGUCUCCGUCCCGCCUCCAGGGGCCCCGGGAGGGACACUCAGCUCAGGAGGACUCAUCUCCAUGGGGUCACUGAGGGGCCCUGAAGAGGGGAAUGUUCCCCCUUCUCGCCCUCCGUAGUCCUCGGGGCGCCUGGCCUCCUAGGGGCAAAGGGCAGCUGUGGGCCGCUGGCCAUGGGGGUUUUCUCCCUUCUCCCCCUGCUGACUCUUCUGUCUCCCACUCCAAAUGGAAGCAGGGGUGGCCUUUAAUGUAAUUUAAAAAUGUAAGCCAAAGAACAGGCACAUGGACCACAAUCAAUAAGUAUAGAGGGUUUAUAACGCAAAGAAGUGCCUCUUGUCCUGUCCCUCUCUUCCCCUCUCCAACCCAAUUCACGGAGACAAACACAAAAAAUAGAAAUCUGUUUCUAUUUUUGUUGUUGUUGUUCUUUGGAUAGUUGCCACUGUAAUUCUAGAUAACAUGCUUAUAAUUCAGUUACUUGAUUUCUCAACGUUAGACAAUUUCCAUUGAUGCCCAGACUCCACUCCUGUGAAAGCUCAUUACAAGUUAGACUCUUGCCUAAUUCUGGUUUUAAUUCUAGUGGUUACUUUGGUAGCUUUUGAUAAAUAAUUACCCCUCUGCUUCUUAUCCCAUCAACAAUAGAGAAUCUCAUCCAACUGCCCUCUGGGAUGAGGGUAACAGUCCUUUCCGCAUCUUGUCCUAAGUCCCAUCUUCCUACAGAGUCGGCAAGUUGCUGUCAAUACCCUUCUUCCUCCUGCUCUAGUGACAGAAUCUACCUAUGGCCACCCAGUCCGAAGACCACAGUUCUUAGCUUCUCCUACUCCUCGCUGUUUCUUGGGACUCUUCUGGUCGCUGAGAUAUAAGUGGAGGUGUUUUGUGGAACCUCCUAAAAUUAAGGAGACUGAGUCUGUCUUGAACCUUUUCUCCUUCCUCCUACCUGAAAUGCAGAUGUUAUGGCUGGUGCUUUGGCUGCCCCUUUGGACCAGGCAGAUGUGGGCCGGGAUGGUAGAGUGGAGGGCCAGAAGGGCUUGGUUCCUUAUGAUUUCACAGAGCUGCUGUAACAGCUCUGGAUUGCUUCCACACAGACUUCUUUUAGGUGAGAAAUAAAAUUCUAUUUUGUUCA
Molecule: long non-coding RNA, 1780 nt
Organism: Choloepus didactylus (southern two-toed sloth)
Lineage: Eukaryota; Metazoa; Chordata; Mammalia; Pilosa; Megalonychidae
Exons: 3
Source: RefSeq, a predicted model, not a curated record